This 774-nucleotide ribosomal RNA is filed under the name uncultured Neocallimastigales. RNAcentral describes it as "partial large subunit ribosomal RNA". It matches the Rfam family "Eukaryotic large subunit ribosomal RNA", at positions 26 to 644 of the family's 3401-position model. Lineage: Eukaryota; Fungi; Neocallimastigomycota; Neocallimastigomycetes; Neocallimastigales. The record is from RNAcentral.
CGCAUCUGUGCAUGCAGCAUAUCAAUAAGCGGAGGAAAAGAAACUAACAAGGAUUCCCCUAGUAACGGCGAGUGAAGCGGGAAGAGCUCAAAUUUGAAAUCUUAAAGGGUUUCCCUUUACGAAUUGUAGUUUAAAGAAGUGUUUUCUGUUGAGGUUUUGGUAAAAGUUCUUUGGAAUAGGACAUCAUAGAGGGUGAGAAUCCCGUAUUUGACCUUUACUUUCAACUUUGUGAUACACUUUCAAAGAGUCGGAUUGUUUGGGAAUGCAGUCCAAAAUGGGUGGUAAAUUUCAUCUAAAGCUAAAUAUUGGCGAGAGACCGAUAGCGAACAAGUACCGUGAGGGAAAGAUGAAAAGAACUUUGAAAAGAGAGUUAAACAGUACGUGAAAUUGUCAAAAGGGAAGCGUUUGACACCAGUGUUGUUUUUCUGAAAAUCAAUUAAAGAACUGUUUAUGCUAAGCUGUUUAGACUUUAUCAGCUAUCUGUUUAGUUUUGAGCUUUUCUUUAAUGCACUUUUCAGUUAACAAGUCAACAUCAAUUUCUUUUGCUGUAAGAAAGCUUGAGGAAGGUGGCUUGAGAUUCGUCUUAAGUGUUUAUAGCCUCUUGCCUAUGCAGUCGGAGAGAUUGAGGUCUGCAGCGUAGAUCCUUCGGGGCUAAAUGCAUUUGUGCUAAGUUAUAGCAUUUUAUAGACAACUUGUUGACUAUGAUUUGUCUUGUAGCUUACUCGCUUAUGUUAUUUUACCUACGCUUAGGAUGUUGAAUCUGUGCGAGACUAC